This 253-nucleotide ribosomal RNA is filed under the name uncultured bacterium. Its description in RNAcentral is "partial 16S ribosomal RNA". It matches the Rfam family "Bacterial small subunit ribosomal RNA", at positions 524 to 776 of the family's 1533-position model. The record is from RNAcentral.
UACGUAGGGUGCAAGCGUUGUCCGGAAUUAUUGGGCGUAAAGAGCUUGUAGGCGGUUUGUCGCGUCUGCUGUGAAAACCCGCGGCUCAACCGCGGGCCUGCAUUCGAUACGGGCAGGCUAGAGUUCGGUAGGGGAGACUGGAAUUCCUGGUGUAGCGGUGAAAUGCGCAGAUAUCAGGAGGAACACCGAUGGCGAAGGCAGGUCUCUGGGCCGAUACUGACGCUGAGGAGCGAAAGCGUGGGGAGCGAACAGG